RNAcentral lists this ribosomal RNA (477 nucleotides) under Escherichia coli. RNAcentral describes it as "partial 23S ribosomal RNA". It matches the Rfam family "Bacterial large subunit ribosomal RNA", at positions 2180 to 2656 of the family's 2925-position model. Lineage: Bacteria; Pseudomonadati; Pseudomonadota; Gammaproteobacteria; Enterobacterales; Enterobacteriaceae. The record is from RNAcentral.
AUGGAGCCGACCUUGAAAUACCACCCUUUAAUGUUUGAUGUUCUAACGUUGACCCGUAAUCCGGGUUGCGGACAGUGUCUGGUGGGUAGUUUGACUGGGGCGGUCUCCUCCUAAAGAGUAACGGAGGAGCACGAAGGUUGGCUAAUCCUGGUCGGACAUCAGGAGGUUAGUGCAAUGGCAUAAGCCAGCUUGACUGCGAGCGUGACGGCGCGAGCAGGUGCGAAAGCAGGUCAUAGUGAUCCGGUGGUUCUGAAUGGAAGGGCCAUCGCUCAACGGAUAAAAGGUACUCCGGGGAUAACAGGCUGAUACCGCCCAAGAGUUCAUAUCGACGGCGGUGUUUGGCACCUCGAUGUCGGCUCAUCACAUCCUGGGGCUGAAGUAGGUCCCAAGGGUAUGGCUGUUCGCCAUUUAAAGUGGUACGCGAGCUGGGUUUAGAACGUCGUGAGACAGUUCGGUCCCUAUCUGCCGUGGGCGCUG